AUUCUAAAAAAUGAUUAAUUAUACUUUAUAUUACAAGAUGCAAAAAAUUGUCCAGUGAAUUAACAAGAUAUUUAAUACAAUUUUCAAACAUCGCCAUGGAACAUAUGACCUCGUAGGGCACCACAGCUACGAGCACACUUGAUGCAAGAGUUGUCGGAAUUAUCAUUGCCUUCACGCCUCCACAAGCCAGUAACUCUGACUUCACCGCAAACACCCACAAAUGAAGCUUUCUUAGCAACUGGAUAUAUGAAGCCCACACUUGUCCAUUCCGAACAUCCGACCAUGCACCAACGGUUAGACAACUACAAUUUUGAAGGCGAGCUGAGAAGGAAAGUAUACAAGUCCCACGCCGAAGAGGAUCGUCGAACCGUUCGUCGCCUGUCACUGGCAACACCUGUAAACGCCACGACAAUUGUGAAUGUGCAAUAAUAGUACAAAGCAUAGCAACAAAUUGGACACGCUAAAUAAUCGACUACCAAAACCUUGUCGCAACAGAAACAACGCUCGACCCCAUCAUAGUUGCCACACUAGCCGCCGGCACACCAACCAUACAACAUCCGUAUAGGCACCUGGAAACUGUGAGGACAUACAUAUUGAGCCCGGGAAAGCAUGUAUGGGAUUCAAAUUCUUCAAGAUGGCCUCCCAAUGAGAGAGACGGUGUGGGAAUGCUAAUGUCGUCUGACCAUACAACCAUGAUCUUAGGCCCUCAGCCAAAGACAUGACCCGAGGGUGGGAGAGGUUGGAAAGCUCCGCAAUGACCCCAAAAGAACGACACUAAAGAGCAUCGUAUUGUCGGAGUCGACAAAAGCCAAGCAAGCAUUCAUCUAGAGCAGUAUGCCACUAUAUUCCCUAUGUGAACGACCAAAGGUAGAGAAAAACCGCACAACUACCUACCCAAACCUACUAACCCACACACACCUCCAGCACAUUGACGACAUCACCACCACCCAUGAACCAUCCUCCUCACCACCAACAGAAGUCGACGGGAUAUAUCAGUUGGCACCCAGCUAGAUCUGGUGUCCCUCCACCAUAAUGCCGCAUGAGAUGCUAUGCCACAAACACCAACACACCGCCAACCCUUUGAGCACAAGGCUUGGGCCCACCACACCGCCGCUCUUUGGAAAUGAGCUAUCUGGAUGAAGUCCACACAAUCUACUGACAUUAUUGCACUAAUGGAUCGCGCUAAAGCUACCAUCGGCUAAAGACGCUACCAAUAAGUUUGUCGGCCACCGAAAGACAUCACACAACACAACCGCAUGGUAUCGAGCCCCUACCACGGGUUCUUGAUGUCAUGCCAUAAAACGACCCUAUUACGGUGUUCGCCGCACGGGCAUAGGCAACCCGUCGACCGGGGGGAGAAGGGCUUGGAGGAGGGAGCCGAUGACGGAGGUGACUAAGGUUUUGCCCAAUACACCCCUUAGAGGAGCAAUCAUUGAGUUAUCAAUUAUAUCUACAUAUACAAUACAUAUAAAUUCUAGCUAAACGCUUGUGCGUUGCUACAACUGUUAAUAUAAAUAAUUAAAUAUAUGUCCUCCAUAAUGAAUGUCAAUUUUUUUAGCAAUAGCUUAAAAGAUUAAUGGACCGUCUCUAGCAUAUAUUUUGUUUGCGAGAAACCAAAAUAAAACUUCAAAGGCCAAGGUGUGGCCUCCGACAUCGAGCUACACCCACGACAUCACAAUGACUUGAAUUUAAUGUUUUUUUGGUUAGGAUGUGUUUGUAAUGACCCAUUAUACUUAAUAUAUGACCUUUGCAAAAUGUGUGGCAUACGAGAUGUGGUCACGCAAUUGCAUAUCUGGUGCUCCCGGUUGUUAGAAGCUCACGUGCUUCCGGGGAUUCUAGGCCGCAUGAUCGCCAAUCCAAUGGACAUGAUCGAAGAUACCGAGCCCAGUUUUUCAACAGAUCAAACAUUACACUUUAACUUUGAAGGAAAUUCUAGAAAAUGAUUAAUUAUACUUUAUAUUACAAGAUGCAAAAAAUUGUCCAGUUAAUUAACAUGAUAUUUAAUACGAUUUUCAAACGUCGCCAUGGAACAUAUGACCUCGUAGGGCACCGCAGCUACGAGCACACUUAAUGCAAGAGUUGUCGAAAUUAUCAUUGCCUUCAUGCCUCCACAAGCCAAUACUCUGACUUCACCGCAAACACCCACAAAUGAAGCUUUCUUAGCAAUUGGAUAUAUGAAGCCCACACUUGUCCGUUCCGAACAUCCGACCAUGCACCAAUGGUUAGACAACUACAAUUUUGAAGGCGAGCUUAGAAGGAAAGUAUACAAGUCCCACGCCGAAGAGGAUCGUCGAACCGUUCGUCGCCUGUCACUGGCAACACCUGUAAACGCCACGACAACUGUGAAUGUGCAAUAAUGGUACAAAGCAUAGCAACAAAUUGGACACGCUAAAUAAUCGACUACCAAAACCUUGUCGCAACAGAAACAACGCUCGACCCCAUCAUAGUUGCCACACUAGCCGCCGGCACACCAACCAUACAACAUCCGUACAGGCACCUGUAAACUGUGAGGACAUACAUAUUGAGCCAGGGAAAGCGUGUAUGGGAUUCAAAUUCUUCAUGAUGGCCUCCCAAUGAGAGAGACGGUGUGGGAAUGCUAAUAUCGUCUGACCAUACAACCAUGAUCUUAGGCCUUCAGCCAAAGACAUGACCCGAGGGUGGGAGAGGUUGGAAAGCUCCGCAAUGACCCCAAAAGAACGACACUAAAGGGCAUCGUAUUGUCGGAGCCGACAAAAGCCAAGCAAGCAUUCAUCUAGAGCAGUAUGCCAUUAUAUUCCCUAUGUGAACAACCAAAGGUAGAGAAAACCCGCACAACUACCUACCCAAACCCACUAACCCACACACACCUCCAGCAUAUUGACGACAUCACCACCACCCAUGAACCAUCCUCCUCACCACCAACAGAAUUCGACGGGAUAUAUUCAGUUGGCACCCAACUAGAUCUGGUGUCCCUCCACCAUAAUGGCGCAUGAGAUGCUAUGCCACAAACACCAACACACCGCCAACCCUAUGAGCACAAGGCUUGGGCCCACCAUACCGCCGCUCUUUGGAAAUGAGCUAUCUGGAUGAAGUCCACACAAUCUAUUGACAUUGUUGCACUAAUGGAUCGCGCUAAAGCUACCAUCGGCUAAAGACGCUACCAAUAAGUUUGUCGGCCACCGAAAGACAUCACACAACACAACCGCAUGGUAUCAAGCCCCCACCACGGGUUCUUGAUGUCAUGCCAUAAAACGACCCUAUUACGGUGUUCGCCGCACGGACAUAGGCAGCCCGUCGACCGGGGGGAGAAGGGCUUGGAGGAGGGAGCCGAUGACGGAGGUGACUAAGGUUUUGCCCAAUACACCCCUUAGAGGAGCAAUCAUUGAGUUAUCAAUUAUAUCUACAUAUACAAUACAUAUAAAUUCUAGCUAAACGUUUGUGCGUUGCUACAACUGUUAUUAUAAAUAAUUAAAUAUAUGUCCUCCAUAGUAAAUGUCAAUUUUUUAGCAAUAGCUUAAAAGGUCAAUGGACCGUCUCUAGCAUAUAUUUUGUUUGCGAGAAACCAAAAUAAAACUUCAAAGGCCAAGGUGUGGCCUCCGACAUCGAGCUACACCCACGACAUCACAAGGACUUGAAUUUAAUGUUUUUUUUGGUUAGGAUGUGUUUGUAAUGACCCAUUAUACUUAAUAUAUGACCUUUGCAAAAUGUGUGGCAUACGAGAUGUGGUCACGCAAUUGCAUAUCUGGUGCUCCCGGUUGUUAGAAGCUCACAUCUUCCGGGGAUCCUAGGCCGCAUGAUCGCCAAUCCAAUGGACAUGAUCGAAGAUACCGAGCCUAGUUUUCCAACAGAUCAAACAUUACACUUUAACUUUGAAGGAAAUUCUAGAAAAUGAUUAAUUAUACUUUAUAUUACAAGAUGCAAAAAAUUGUCCAGUUAAUUAACAUGAUAUUUAAUACGAUUUUCAAACGUCGCCAUGGAACAUAUGACCUCGUAGGGCACCACAGCUACGAGCACACUUGAUGCAAGAGUUGUCGGAAUUAUCAUUGCCUUCACGCCUCCACAAGCCAGUAACUCUGACUUCACCGCAAACACCCACAAAUGAAGCUUUCUUAGCAACUGGAUAUAUGAAGCCCACACUUGUCCAUUCCGAACAUCCGACCAUGCACCAACGGUUAGACAACUACAAUUUUGAAGGCGAGCUGAGAAGGAAAGUAUACAAGUCCCACGCCGAAGAGGAUCGUCGAACCGUUCGUCGCCUAUCACUGGCAACACCUAUAAACGCCACGACAACUGUGAAUGUGCAAUAAUGGUACAAAGCAUAGCAACAAUUUGGACACGCUAAAUAAUCGACUACCAAAACCUUGUCGCAACAGAAACAACGCUCGACCCCAUCAUAGUUGCCACACUAGCCGCCGGCACACCAACCAUACAACAUCCGUACAGGCACCUGGAAACUGUGAGGACAUACAU
This 4449-nucleotide long non-coding RNA is filed under the name Triticum aestivum (bread wheat). Its description in RNAcentral is "long non-coding RNA (TAES_LNC027674)". Lineage: Eukaryota; Viridiplantae; Streptophyta; Magnoliopsida; Poales; Poaceae. The record is from RNAcentral.